RNAcentral lists this ribosomal RNA (404 nucleotides) under uncultured Cellulomonas sp. Its description in RNAcentral is "bacterial SSU rRNA". It matches the Rfam family "Bacterial small subunit ribosomal RNA", at positions 974 to 1382 of the family's 1533-position model. Lineage: Bacteria; Bacillati; Actinomycetota; Actinomycetes; Micrococcales; Cellulomonadaceae. The record is from RNAcentral.
CCAAGGCUUGACAUACACCGGUAACGCCCAGAGAUGGUGCCCCUUUGUGUCGGUGUACAGGUGGUGCAUGGUUGUCGUCAGCUCGUGUCGUGAGAUGUUGGGUUAAGUCCCGCAACGAGCGCAACCCUCGUCCUAUGUUGCCAGCGGGUCAUGCCGGGGACUCAUGGGAGACUGCCGGGGUCAACUCGGAGGAAGGUGGGAUGACGUCAAAUCAUCAUGCCCCUUAUGUCUUGGGCUUCACGCAUGCUACAAUGGCCGGUACAAAGGGCUGCGAUACCGCGAGGUGGAGCCAAUCCCAUAAAGCCAUUCGUAGUCCGGAUCGCAGUCUGCAACUCGACUGCGUGAAGUCGGAAUCGCUAGUAAUCGUGGAUCAGCAUGUCGCGGUGAAUACGUUCCCGGGUCUU